CGGUGCUAAUUUGUCUUUAAUGACAGAAUAAAACUGCACAAGGCAAUAUAGGGCCCAGCUUUGACUGAAAUUAAGAACAACUGCCAUGUAUGGAUAGCCAUAUCUCCACUCAAAUUUGCCUUCUCCNAUAAACCCCAAAAGCCUCAAAAAUCAUUGCUAAGAGUGCACAGAUCAUCUUCAAUAUCAUAUAUUGCACAAUGCCCACUUUCACAGCAUGAUAGAAGUCAGGACCAAGUUGCCAAUUCCUCAGAAAGCA
Molecule: unclassified non-coding RNA, 256 nt
Filed under: Hevea brasiliensis (rubber tree)
Lineage: Eukaryota; Viridiplantae; Streptophyta; Magnoliopsida; Malpighiales; Euphorbiaceae
Source: RNAcentral